CUCCCGUGGAUGCGCACCGUUACGUCACAGAAGUGGCCACGGUUGCGCUGCUCGUUGAGGGUCUCGAGCACGGAAUUGCUGAAGUUGUGAAGGUUGAUGCUGUGAAUGCGCUCGGUCAUCCCCUUGCAACUGAUGUCACCUGCAGCAUGUCAACGCAGACACAAAACAGGGCAUGGGUCAGAUCUAGCUGGUUGCAUUCCUAACACCUAGGUUUCAGAGUAAAAAUACAGAGUCAGCUUGUGAUGGCAUUCCCUCAAAACAUGGAAGGAAUUGCAGUAAUGAAAGUCAUCAUGUAUUCUAAGAGACUGUUCUGCGAGAGCACAACACAGACGGGGCUAAAGCAGGGAUUGUCUAAGCCCAGUGUGGAGGAACCAUCAAGGAUUUCAGCACGUUUUUUUAGCCAUUGUGAGAAGCAAAAGUGCUCAGGAGUUAAGAGAAGCAGACGUCCGAAAUUAUCUCCAUGCAUUACCAAAAACCGUGGGCACCACGGCACGGGGAAAACUUACCAGGUACAAUGAGCCAGUGACUGUUACUGAAUUUCUUAAGAUUACACUUUUCCCAACUACUGCAGACUGCUUCAGAAUAGAAGAAGACAACUCUCAUGCCAUCAAGCCGACGGACUUUCAAAAAAAUAAAAGAUGCAUUUCUUUACUUGGCCCAUGAGAAGUAAAAGCAGGCACUGGCAUUCUGCACAGAUGAAAUACUUCCUACGACAGGAAUACAUGCUCACUUGUGGACUUCUCUGUAAUCUGUAGGCAACAUCAGCUCCUGAUUUCUAGGUCUGGAUCUGGGUUCUCUGUAGCACAGGAAGGUCUCUACUUCUCCUACAUAAAUGCCUUGCAUGGCGGGAACUAAAUCAACUACACAGACCCAUACAUCCAGAGAGCAGAGGUGAGCUGGAUACAAGUGGCUUAGAGAUGUGGUGGAAGGAGGCCAGAGCUCCAAGGGAAGGGCAGCAAGGAGACAACAGCAUGGGUUGCAGCUCAGACAACAGGUAAAUAAAACCAAGCAAAGCUGCUGGUCACAGAUUUGACCAGGGUGGCAAGAAAUGACAAGCUACCAUGAGAUUCAACAGUGGCACGGAAGGAUGAUGAGAAGCAAACAGAUUAGGAGAAGCUGCCACCACCGUACAUAGAGGCACAGAUGACCAAGCAGAACAGCACCAGUCCCUGCAAGGUGUGCUCAGAUACAGCUCAGCACAGCCAUCUGGCCAGGAGGGAAUGAUAAUGCACAUGGUGUGCACUGCAGCCGGGAAGUUGAGAACCGCUGUGGGCACCUCAGGACUGAGUCUGGUUACCCUGCUGAUCCAAGAAAUGAAGCCAUCUAAAAUUUUGCCUGCUUUCACAAUUUUCUGUGUGUGUGUGUGUGUAUUAAACAAAGUGAACUAAGAAGCCUUUUAUUGGAGACAUAAUGUACUCACAGUAGUUUCAAAAUCAAUGGUGUCACUCUUCAGGUAAAUUACUCCAAG
This 1468-nucleotide long non-coding RNA is filed under the name Homo sapiens (human). Its description in RNAcentral is "HSALNT0313880". The record is from RNAcentral. Lineage: Eukaryota; Metazoa; Chordata; Mammalia; Primates; Hominidae.